Myotis davidii is the source of this 438-nucleotide long non-coding RNA. RefSeq lists it as uncharacterized. NCBI's taxonomy places the organism in Eukaryota, Metazoa, Chordata, Mammalia, Chiroptera, Vespertilionidae. The transcript is spliced from 3 exons. The record is from RefSeq and is a predicted model, not a curated record.
AGCAGGUUCUCUCUGAGGCCCACACUCUUUGGCUGGCUGCCUCACAUCCCCACCCUCUGGUCUUAAAAUGGAAACAGUGGGCCCUUGGGGUAUGCCUGAUGCUGGGAAUUUCUGCCUCAUCAGAACAGCAGGUUGUGUGCCCCAAAGAGACCUAUAGGGAGGGGGACAUAGCAAGUAAGACUGUAGUUUUUCUCUCAGACAUAUCCUCCAGUGAAGAUUAAAGAAAAAAAAAGAGGAGGAAACACAGAGAUACACUGAGAAGAAGGCCAUAUGAAGAUGGAGGCAGAGUUGGAGUGACACAUCUACAAGCCAACGAACACCAAGGACUACUUCUAGAGGCAAGAAGUAUCCUGCCCUACAUGCUUUGGAGGGAGUAUGUCCUGGCGAAACCUUGAUUUUGAACUUGAAGCCUACAGAACUCCAUGGGAAUACAUUUCU